RNAcentral lists this ribosomal RNA (253 nucleotides) under uncultured bacterium. Its description in RNAcentral is "partial 16S ribosomal RNA". It matches the Rfam family "Bacterial small subunit ribosomal RNA", at positions 524 to 776 of the family's 1533-position model. The record is from RNAcentral.
GACAGAGGUGCCGAGCGUUAGGCGGAAUCACUGGGCUUAAAGCGUGUGUAGGUGGAUGUCUAAGUACCUUGUGAAAUCCCACGGAUUAACCGUGGAACUGCUCGGUAUACUGGAUGUCUUGAGCCAGCUAGGGGCUACCGGAACAAAUGGUGGAGCGGUGAAAUGCGUAGAUAUCAUUUGGAACGCCAAUGGUGAAAACAGGUAGCUGGGGCUGUGCUGACACUGAGACACGAAAGCCAGGGGAGCGAACGGG